Molecule: long non-coding RNA, 2296 nt
Filed under: Homo sapiens (human)
Lineage: Eukaryota; Metazoa; Chordata; Mammalia; Primates; Hominidae
Description: non-protein coding ZFHX2-AS1:31
Source: RNAcentral
AGCCAGGAGGAGAGCACAGAUGGCUUGGUGGUGGUAUGGUGUGCUCCAUCGGCUGCCAACCUAGGGCCAUCGUCUGCCUCCAUCACCCCUCCGCCCGCCCGCCUACCCACCCAAUCCCAAACGGGUGCUGGAUCAGGUGCUGAAUCCGGCUGCCUCCUCGGGUACCAGUCACUGUGCAUUGCUGUGUGUCUGCCACCGCUGCCUGGCACUCAUGGGGCCGUGUGUGUGUGUAUGUGUGUGUGCGCGCAUGUACAUGUACGCAUAAGCGUGUGCUGUAUGUGAGCCUCCUGGGCAUGGGUGGGGGUUGGCAUUGCGGUUGCCAAUCUAGUGUACAACCAGAAGGACAGAGGGAUGGAGUGGAAGAAGGAGGGGAGAGGCUUGGGGUCUGGGAGGGGAGAAGAGGGUGCAUGAGUUGCUUCAUGCUGCCUGCUUACAGGCAUUGGCAUUGUAGCUGCCACCCUUGUGCCCACGGAGAUGGGAGGAGGCGAGUGGAGGGCGCAGCGGCAGGAGUCCUGUGCUCUGGGAGGAAGGCUUUGUACAUGGGAGCUGUUGGCAUCACAUCUGUCAGGCCGGUGCCCAGAACUGGGGCAAUGGAGACUGGGGGAUCCAGGAAGCAGGGAGGAGGGGCAGAAUGUGUUUCUGAUGUUGCUGUCCCUCUAGAAGCUCAGCUCUGAAAAAUGGUUGGAGUAUGAGGUGAUUAGUGCUCUUCCAGCUUGAGGAAGUAAAGUGGUGGAGAGAGUAGCCAGGGAAGUGCCAAGAAACAGUCUACGAGCCAGGGAGGAGGGAGUGUGCCACCGUACCCAGGGAGAACUUGUUGGGGCUGGCAAUCUGGCCCUUUGUCAGAGUAUUGAAGGAGACAGCAAGAGGACCAGAUGUGAGGUGGGUGGGUGCUGGCACUGCCCAUGGCACCUGGCACAGGCUCUGGCAUUGUGUGGAACAGGGGAGGUUGACAGUGCCUCUUGCCAAUCUGGUUGAGAGGGCUAUUGUGCCAGGAGUGAGAAGGAAGGAGGUGAAACAUUUCGGGAGGUGGGGUGUUUGGGAGACCAGAUUUUUUUCUGCCAGGUCCUCCUUCCCCUUCCCUCUUAGGCAUGGGGAGUGGAGCAACAGACGGAGAGUGGCAUGAAGACACAAAGGAGGAAGCACACCAUUGCCAAGACCCCAAGGAAGAAGGAUGGAAAGCGCUGGCAGUCCUGCCUGGCCCCCAGCCAGUUCCCUGCUGAAGAUGGCCAGAUCCCCUUGUCUGGUCUGUAUAUGCCACUUUUGCUGGGGUGGAAGGAGGGAAGGGCUGGCUUGCUGAGCUGGGCUCUAGAAUGGGAAGGGUACCUUUCUGCAGAUCCCAUUUGGACUCUCCACUUGAACAAGUGAGGUGUCUGAUUUUCUUCUUCGGUACCUUCCUCUCCUCCCCCUCCCUUCGCCUCACCCCGCUUUCAUCUCUCAUCACCACCUGGGUCCUACUGCUUGGCACCCAACCAACUGGAUGCUGCCACGUUUGGCAGUGCUGCACUGGCACGUGAACAGUGUCUCAGAUCCUGGCACUGCAGCAAACCCAAAGCCACCAAACAUGCUCAUGAUGCCACUUGGCAGCAGUCAGAGAGAGGGGGCUGUGCACAUAGUGGUGGCCAGGCAUUGGGUGGAGCUCUGUGCAGGGAACUGGCAUGAGAGGAUGCCCUUAACAACUGGGCUGAGUCAGCACUCCCUGGUCAAUCUCAGCUCUGCCUUCCUCCCAACUAGAUAUCCACCUCCUUCCUACCCUUAUUGCCCCCACGAAAGGGAUUUAGAUGGUACCAUAUUGAGUGUUUGAGCACCAUGCGAAAGGAAACAAGCACAGAGGGACAGGCUAGAGCACAGGCUGUAGACACACCCAAGGCUCCAGGCUAGUGGACCAUACAUAUCCUUGGACAACAAGAACAACAACAACAACAACAAAACCCUAGGAGAGCAAAAGGAGGUGGAGAGAGGGACACCAGCUGUGUUGUUACCAGGAUGGCACAAGAAGAGAUUGGAAGGGAAGUAGGAAGGAGUGACCCUCAGACCUUGCUCUUGGGUGAUGGGGUGGUUUGUACUUAUGCAUAUUUCAUUCUGCCUUGUGCCUUGUGAUUUGCUGAGCUGUGGUUGAGAUGAACUGGUUCUUUCUCCCUUGUUAAAAGGUCCAUAUUCAAUAAUAGUCCUAGAAAGAUGGAAAGGUGCUCUAGGCCUAGAGAGGUAGACAGGUGUUAGGAAGACAAAGGGACUUGUCCUUCCAGAAAGACUAUGCAAGGCACCCAGUUAGAGUUGGAUAGAUUUCCAUAUCUUUGAA